UGGGGAAUAUUGGACAAUGGGCGAAAGCCUGAUCCAGCCAUGCCGCGUGAGUGAAGAAGGCCUUAGGGUUGUAAAGCUCUUUCAGCGGGGAAGAUAAUGACGGUACCCGCAGAAGAAGCCCCGGCUAACUUCGUGCCAGCAGCCGCGGUAAUACGAAGGGGGCUAGCGUUGUUCGGAUUUACUGGGCGUAAAGCGCGCGUAGGCGGGUCGCUAAGUCAGGGGUGAAAUCCCGAGGCUUAACCUCGGAACUGCCUUUGAUACUGACGACCUGGAGAUCGGGAGAGGUUGGUGGAAUUCCGAGUGUAGAGGUGAAAUUCGUAGAUAUUCGGAGGAACACCAGAAGCGAAGGCGGCCAACUGGCCCGAUACUGACGCUGAGGCGCGAAAGCGUGGGGAGCAAA
RNAcentral lists this ribosomal RNA (400 nucleotides) under uncultured bacterium. Its description in RNAcentral is "bacterial SSU rRNA". It matches the Rfam family "Bacterial small subunit ribosomal RNA", at positions 355 to 772 of the family's 1533-position model. The record is from RNAcentral.